UGACUCUAGCUUGCGUCAAGUUGA
RNAcentral lists this non-coding RNA (24 nucleotides) under Mus musculus (house mouse). The record is from RNAcentral. RNAcentral also lists the same sequence under 1 other name. Lineage: Eukaryota; Metazoa; Chordata; Mammalia; Rodentia; Muridae.